RNAcentral lists this ribosomal RNA (227 nucleotides) under uncultured Lactobacillus sp. Its description in RNAcentral is "partial 16S ribosomal RNA". It matches the Rfam family "Bacterial small subunit ribosomal RNA", at positions 137 to 355 of the family's 1533-position model. Lineage: Bacteria; Bacillati; Bacillota; Bacilli; Lactobacillales; Lactobacillaceae. The record is from RNAcentral.
UCGGGAGUAACAACCUGGAAACAGAUGCUAAUACCGGGUAACGAACAGAUGAUGCCUAUCAACUGUUUAAAAGAUGGUUCUGCUAUCACUCUUGGAUGGACCUGCGGUGCAUUAGCUAGUUGGUAGGGUAACGGCCUACCAAGGCGAUGAUGCAUAGCCGAGUUGAGAGACUGAUCGGCCACAUUGGGACUGAGACACGGCCCAAACUCCUACGGGAGGCAGCAGCC